UNUAGAUGAGGUGGCCUCCCUAUUAAUUG
Molecule: non-coding RNA, 29 nt
Filed under: Mus musculus (house mouse)
Lineage: Eukaryota; Metazoa; Chordata; Mammalia; Rodentia; Muridae
Source: RNAcentral